GAAAUAAUUUCUUAUAAGUCAUUAAUAACUGAAGUAAGCAUUAAUUGAACCUUUAAACAGUUAAACUUACAAUAAUUAUUUUGAAGAUCAUCUUGCCUUAAAAACUUCAAGAUCUUUGAGGGGAUAAUUUGCCAUCUUAGUAUUUAGAAGAACUGUGUUUGUGUCUAUAUGAGGGAGAUCAGAUUAUAAUAGAAGGAUUUGGUAAAAUGAAGAGAAAGUUUUGAAUGGGCUAAACAGGAAUUCAAGGACUUCUUAUAAUACAUUCCAGAGCUCAGCAACUCUUUUUUUAUAUUGCCUGCUGUUUGGGAUUAUAUUCAUCAUUGCUGCCUUCAGUUACAGGGCAAAAUGCUGAAUGGCAGAAGGCUGAAGAAAAGCUAAAAGCUCCGUCCUAUUGAGAAGUUCAUCACAGGGAAGACUCCACUGAAGUAAUCAGAUGCCUUUCCUGCUGCCCUGAGUCUUUAACUGUCCAAAGGGAGUCCUGAACCCAAAGCUGUUUCAGCUGCAUGCGAUUGUUAGGAUCAUUCACUCAUACCUCUUCGUUUAGGAUAGAGAACAAUCAGGCAAAGAAAGGGGAGGACUAACCCAAGGUCAGAUAAUUAGCUAAGGGCAUCAGAACCCACAGUUCAGGGUUGUUAGUACCACAUCAAGCUCCCUUGCAAAUUAGCUUCAUAAAUUCUAAGCCCACAGGCUCAGGGCUCAUCUGAAAGAGAUGGACCAGAGAGGAGGAGAUGGAGAAAAAAGUCUCCUACCACACACUGGAACCACUUUUACAGAAGUGCCUGUUGUCUCCCCUGCACCCCUGCACUCCCAACCCCAACAAUGCCAGGCAGCAAGCUGUUGCAGAAAGGAAGCAGGCUGCUGCCCCUGCAGUGUUCAGGCCUCCUCCUGGCAGGGCUCCCUCUACCUGAAUCCAUCUCAGGGAAAUGGUCAUCUCUGACUAUGCUGCACAGAGCCUGCAAAGCUAUGUUAAUAAUCUCUCUGGGCCUUAAACUGAAUAACCAAGAUUUCGCACAUGUACCAUUCACUUCCCACUUAAUAUGCACACUCAAUUUACACAGGAAGUAUGCCUAAGGCUCUUUCAAUGACUGUAUGUGACUACACAUAGGGUUUUUCUUUUAUAACAGAUUGGCAAAUGCCUGAGGUGGUAUGAGUGUGAUGUUGCUGGAAAACCUUAGUUGAAAUUCCUAGACUAUAUGAAAUCCUUUUUAAAUCUCCUUAUUCUGAAAACAUAUUUUUUUAAAAAAAAUUUAGACCACUCAUGGGAUUUAAAGUAAAAAGUACAAAUAUACUGUA
This is a long non-coding RNA of Homo sapiens (human), 1293 nucleotides long. Lineage: Eukaryota; Metazoa; Chordata; Mammalia; Primates; Hominidae. The record is from Ensembl.